AACGAACGCUGGCGGCAUGCCUAACACAUGCAAGUCGAACGGGACCUUCGGGUCUAGUGGCGCACGGGUGCGUAACGCGGGGGAACCUGCCCUUAGGUUAGGAAUAACUCCCCGUAAGGUGUGCUAAUACCGGUUAAUGUCAUCGGACCAAAGAUUUAUCGCGUUUGGAUGGGGGCGGGUUGGAUUAGCCAGUUGGUAGGGUAAAAGCCUACCAAGGCGACGUUCCAUAGCUGGUCUGAGAGCAUGACCAGCCAGAAUGGAGCUGAGACACGGCCUAGACUCGUACGGGAGGGUGCAGAAGGGAAUAUUGUGCAAUGGACGAUAGCCUGGUCCAGCAAUGCCGGGUAUGUCAUGAAGGGCUUAGUGUUGUAAAGCUCUUUUACACGGGAUGAUAAUGACAGUACCGGGAGAAUAAGCUCCGGCUAACUCCGUG
Molecule: ribosomal RNA, 433 nt
Filed under: uncultured bacterium
Lineage: Bacteria
Description: partial 16S ribosomal RNA
Rfam family: Bacterial small subunit ribosomal RNA
Source: RNAcentral